Molecule: ribosomal RNA, 437 nt
Filed under: uncultured bacterium
Lineage: Bacteria
Description: partial 16S ribosomal RNA
Rfam family: Bacterial small subunit ribosomal RNA
Source: RNAcentral
AGCGAACGCUGGCGGCAUGCUUAACACAUGCAAGUCGCGCGGGUGGUUUCGGCCAUCAGCGGCGGACGGGUGAGUAUCGCGUAGGAAUGUAUCCCGAGGUGGGGGACAACCCUGGGAAACUGGGGCUAAUACCGCAUGGGGCCUGUGGGUCAAAGCCUUAGGGCGCCUUGGGAGCAGCCUGCGUCCGAUUAGGUAGUUGGUGGGGUAAAGGCCUACCAAGCCUGCGAUCGGUAGCUGGUCUGAGAGGACGAUCAGCCACACUGGGACUGAGACACGGCCCAGAUUCCUACGGGAGGCAGCAGUGGGGAAUAUUGGACAAUGGGCGCAAGCCUGAUCCAGCAAUGCCGCGUGGGUGAAGAAGGUCUUCGGAUUGUAAAGCCCUUUCGGCGGGGACGAUGAUGACGGUACCCGCAGAAGAAGCCCCGGCUAACUUCGUG